CUCCUACGGGAGGCAGCAGUGAGGAAUAUUGGUCAAUGGGCGCAGGCCUGAACCAGCCAAGUAGCGUGAAGGAUGACUGCCCUAUGGGUUGUAAACUUCUUUUAUAUGGGAAUAAAGUUUUCCACGUGUGGAAUUUUGUAUGUACCAUAUGAAUAAGGAUCGGCUAACUCCGUGCCAGCAGCCGCGGUAAUACGGAGGAUCCGAGCGUUAUCCGGAUUUAUUGGGUUUAAAGGGAGCGUAGGUGGACAGUUAAGUCAGUUGUGAAAGUUUGCGGCUCAACCGUAAAAUUGCAGUUGAUACUGGCUGUCUUGAGUACAGUAGAGGUGGGCGGAAUUCGUGGUGUAGCGGUGAAAUGCUUAGAUAUCACGAAGAACUCCGAUUGCGAAGGCAGCUCACUGGACUGCAACUGACACUGAUGCUCGAAAGUGUGGGUAUCAAACAGGAUUAGAUACCCUGGUAGUCCACACAGUAAACGAUGAAUACUCGCUGUUUGCGAUAUACAGCAAGCGGCCAAGCGAAAGCGUUAAGUAUUCCACCUGGGGAGUACGCCGGCAACGGUGAAACUCAAAGGAAUUGACGGGGGCCCGCACAAGCGGAGGAACAUGUGGUUUAAUUCGAUGAUACGCGAGGAACCUUACCCGGGCUUAAAUUGCAGAUGAAUUACGGUGAAAGCCGUAAGCCGCAAGGCAUCUGUGAAGGUGCUGCAUGGUUGUCGUCAGCUCGUGCCGUGAGGUGUCGGCUUAAGUGCCAUAACGAGCGCAACCCUUGUUGUCAGUUACUAACAGGUUCCGCUGAGGACUCUGACAAGACUGCCAUCGUAAGAUGUGAGGAAGGUGGGGAUGACGUCAAAUCAGCACGGCCCUUACGUCCGGGGCUACACACGUGUUACAAUGGGGGGGUACAGAGGGCCGCUACCACGCGAGUGGAUGCCAAUCCCAAAAACCUCUCUCAGUUCGGACUGGAGUCUGCAACCCGACUCCACGAAGCUGGAUUCGCUAGUAAUCGCGCAUCAGCCACGGCGCGGUGAAUACGUUCCCGGGCCUUGUACACACCGC
This 1055-nucleotide ribosomal RNA is filed under the name uncultured bacterium. RNAcentral describes it as "bacterial SSU rRNA". It matches the Rfam family "Bacterial small subunit ribosomal RNA", at positions 336 to 1393 of the family's 1533-position model. The record is from RNAcentral.